UACGUAGGGUGCGAGCGUUAAUCGGAAUUACUGGGCGUAAAGCGUGCGCAGGCGGUUGUGUAAGACAGGUGUGAAAUCCCCGGGCUUAACCUGGGAACUGCGCUUGUGACUGCACAGCUAGAGUAUGGCAGAGGGGGGUGGAAUUCCACGUGUAGCAGUGAAAUGCGUAGAGAUGUGGAGGAACACCGAUGGCGAAGGCAGCCCCCUGGGCCAAUACUGACGCUCAUGCACGAAAGCGUGGGGAGCAAACAGG
RNAcentral lists this ribosomal RNA (253 nucleotides) under uncultured bacterium. RNAcentral describes it as "partial 16S ribosomal RNA". It matches the Rfam family "Bacterial small subunit ribosomal RNA", at positions 524 to 776 of the family's 1533-position model. The record is from RNAcentral.